Molecule: ribosomal RNA, 627 nt
Filed under: uncultured bacterium
Lineage: Bacteria
Description: bacterial SSU rRNA
Rfam family: Bacterial small subunit ribosomal RNA
Source: RNAcentral
GCGAACGGGUGAGUAAAGCUUAGGAAUCUGCCUAUUAAUGGGGGACAACAAUUCGAAAGGAUUGCUAAUACCGCAUACGCCCUACGGGGGAAAGCAGGGGACUCGUAAGAGCCUUGCGUUAAUAGAUGAGCCUAAGUCGGAUUAGCUAGUUGGUGGGGUAAAGGCCUACCAAGGCGACGAUCUGUAGCGGGUCUGAGAGGAUGAUCCGCCACACUGGGACUGAGACACGGCCCAGACUCCUACGGGAGGCAGCAGUGGGGAAUAUUGGACAAUGGGGGGAACCCUGAUCCAGCCAUGCCGCGUGUGUGAAGAAGGUCGUAAGACUGUAAAGCACUUUAAGCGAGGAGGAGGGUAACUAUGCUAAUACCAUGGUUUAUCGGACGCUACUCGCAGAAUAAGCACCGGCUAACUCUGUGCCAGCAGCCGCGGUAAUACAGAGGGUGCGAGCGUUAAUCGGAAUUACUGGGCGUAAAGCGCGCGUAGGUGGCAAAUUAAGUCGGAUGUGAAAUCCCCGAGCUCAACUUGGGAAUUGCAUCCGAUACUGGUUAGCUAGAGUAUGAGAGAGGAAGGUAGAAUUCCAGGUGUAGCGGUGAAAUGCGUAGAGAUCUGGAGGAAUACCGAUGGCGA